CCUACGGGGGGCAGCAGUAGGGAAUCUUCCACAAUGGGGGAAACCCUGAUGCAGCGACGCCGCGUGAGUGAAGAAGUAUUUCGGUAUGUAAAGCUCUAUCAGCAGGGAAGAUAAUGACGGUACCUGAGUAAGAAGCCCCGGCUAACUACGUGCCAGCAGCCGCGGUAAUACGUAGGGGGCAAGCGUUAUCCGGAUUUACUGGGUGUAAAGGGAGCGUAGACGGCAUGGCAAGUCUGAAGUGAAAGCCCGG
RNAcentral lists this ribosomal RNA (250 nucleotides) under uncultured bacterium. RNAcentral describes it as "partial 16S ribosomal RNA". It matches the Rfam family "Bacterial small subunit ribosomal RNA", at positions 338 to 605 of the family's 1533-position model. The record is from RNAcentral.